Molecule: small RNA, 1087 nt
Filed under: Mytilus galloprovincialis (Mediterranean mussel)
Lineage: Eukaryota; Metazoa; Mollusca; Bivalvia; Mytilida; Mytilidae
Source: RNAcentral
AUGGCAUUAGAAAGGAACCCAAAUGGCCGGAGGUGGAACAAGGAAAUUAUACGGUUGUGUUUAACUUUGUACUGCAGGAGUCCAAGGGGCUAUAGUGAAUUGAGAAAUAGCAAUUUUAUAAUAUUACCAUCCCAAAACUUGCUUCGACGUUAUAAAAACUCUGUUUAUCAAGAGGCAGGCAUUAAUAGUGAUAUGUUAGAUUGGAUGGCAAAUGAAGCAACAAUGAAAGGUAUACCCCCUGAGGGAUAUCAAGGUGGACUUAUUAUAGAUGAAAUGUCUAUUCAACAAGAUUUGCAAUUUCGCAAGCGUAAACACAAUAUAGAGCUGAUUGGUUUCACUGAAUGUUCACCAGAGUCAAUUAUAUUUGAGCAAAUAAAGAGUAAUAAAAAAGAAAGAACUCUUGCUACACAUGUUCUUCAAUUAGUUUUCUUAGGAUUUACAGGUUUCCGUUUUCCAUUUGCACAUUUUCCUUCUCAUACUGCAUCAGGACAUGAACUUUACUUACUUGUAUGGAAAUCAGUUAAUAUGUUAUCUGCAUUUGGAUUUACAAUUCAAUAUAUCAGUACUGAUGGGGCACAAAGCAAUAGAGACCUUUUCAAAAUUUUGUUACCAAACUUUAACAGUAUAAAUGCAAUCACAUGCUCUUUUCAAAACAUUUUUUUCUCCCAAGGACAGCCAAAAAUUAUUUUUUAUCAUGGACAUUUGCCAUACUAUUAAGAAAAUAAGGAAUAACAUUUCUAAAAGUGGAGAUGGUGCUUUUAGUAAACGGAGGUUAAAGUUUAAGAACAAUUUUAUAGAAUGGACUCACUUUAAACAGGCUUAUCUAUGGGACAUUUCAACGAACCCAUUCCCAGUUCAUCAUAAACUGACACAAGAACACAUGUUCUUAACAUCAGAAAAUAAAAUGAGGAAUCAUUUAGCAGAGGACGUUUUAAAUAGUGAAAUGUUACAUUUGAUGAAACUUUACAAGUCAAGCUUAGGUGAUGCUGGAACAAAGGUUGAUGCAACCAUAGAAUUGCUACAGCAAACAAGCGUGCUCAUCCAAAACUUCAAAGACUCGCGUCCUAUAAACAGAUGUAAGCGAUGA